RNAcentral lists this ribosomal RNA (480 nucleotides) under uncultured bacterium. RNAcentral describes it as "partial 16S ribosomal RNA". It matches the Rfam family "Bacterial small subunit ribosomal RNA", at positions 29 to 523 of the family's 1533-position model. The record is from RNAcentral.
AAUGAACGUUGGCGGCGUGGAUUAGGCAUGCAAGUCGAGCGAGAACCCAGCAAUGGGGGACAGCGGCGUAAGGGACAGUAAUGUGUAGAUUAUCUGCCCUCGGGACCGGGAUAGCUGCGGGAAACUGCAGGUAAUACCGGAUAACAUCUCCGGAUCAAAGGUGUGAUUCCGCCCGAGGAUGAGUCUGCAUCCUAUUAGCUAGUUGGCAGGGUAAUGGCCUACCAAGGCUUUGAUGGGUAGCGGGUGUGAGAGCACGACCCGCGUCAUUGGACUGAGACACUGCCCAGACACCUACGGGUGGCUGCAGUCGAGAAUCUUCGGCAAUGGGCGCAAGCCUGACCGAGCGACGCCGCGUGUGGGAUGAAGGCCUUCGGGUUGUAAACCACUGUUAGAGGGGAUGAAAUGCAGGUGGGUUCUCCCAUCUGUUUGACAUAGCCUCAGAGGAAGGACGGGCUAAGUUCGUGCCAGCCGCCGCCGUAA